This 274-nucleotide ribosomal RNA is filed under the name uncultured bacterium. RNAcentral's name for it is "partial 16S ribosomal RNA". It matches the Rfam family "Bacterial small subunit ribosomal RNA", at positions 523 to 796 of the family's 1533-position model. The record is from RNAcentral.
AUACGGAGGGUCCGAGCGUUAAUCGGAAUUACUGGGCGUAAAGCGUACGUCGGUGGCUUGAUUAGUCGGAUGUGAAAGCCCUGGGCUCAACCUGGGAACUGCAUUCGAUACUGUCAGGCUAGAUUAUAGUAGAGGGAAGUGGAAUUCCGGGUGUAGCGGUGAAAUGCGUAGAUAUCCGGAGGAACACCAGUGGCGAAGGCGGCUUCCUGGACUAAUACUGACACUGAGGUACGAAAGCGUGGGGAGCAAACAGGAUUAGAAACCCGAGUAGUCC